This 665-nucleotide ribosomal RNA is filed under the name uncultured Niastella sp. Its description in RNAcentral is "bacterial SSU rRNA". It matches the Rfam family "Bacterial small subunit ribosomal RNA", at positions 62 to 718 of the family's 1533-position model. The record is from RNAcentral. Lineage: Bacteria; Pseudomonadati; Bacteroidota; Chitinophagia; Chitinophagales; Chitinophagaceae.
UCGAGGGGCAGCAGGGUUGUAGCAAUACAAUCGCUGGCGACCGGCAAACGGGUGCGGAACACGUACGCAACCUUCCUUCAAAUGGGGGAUAGCCCACCGAAAGGUGGAUUAAUACCCCGUAACAUUUUCUGGUGGCAUCACUGGAUUAUUAUAGCUCCGGCGUUUGAAGAUGGGCGUGCGCCUGAUUAGGUAGUUGGCGGAGUAACAGCCCACCAAGCCUACGAUCAGUAACUGGUGUGAGAGCACGACCAGUCACACGGGCACUGAGACACGGGCCCGACUCCUACGGGAGGCAGCAGUAAGGAAUAUUGGUCAAUGGACGCAAGUCUGAACCAGCCAUGCCGCGUGGAGGAUGAAGGUCCUCUGGAUUGUAAACUUCUUUUAUCGGAGAAGAAACCCAUACUAUCUAGUGUGGUUGACGGUACCCGAUGAAUAAGCACCGGCUAACUCCGUGCCAGCAGCCGCGGUAAUACGGAGGGUGCAAGCGUUAUCCGGAUUCACUGGGUUUAAAGGGAGCGUAGGUGGGAUGGUAAGUCAGUGGUGAAAUCUCCGGGCUUAACUCGGAAACUGCCGUUGAUACUAUCAUUCUUGAAUAUUGUGGAGGUAAGCGGAAUAUGUCAUGUAGCGGUGAAAUGCUUAGAUAUGACAUAGAACAACGAUAGCGA